ACGGGUGAGUAAUGUAUCGGAACGUGCCCAGUUGUGGGGGAUAACUGCUCGAAAGAGCAGCUAAUACCGCAUACGACCUGAGGGUGAAAGCGGGGGAUCGCAAGACCUCGCGCAAUUGGAGCGGCCGAUAUCAGAUUAGGUAGUUGGUGGGGUAAAGGCUCACCAAGCCAACGAUCUGUAGCUGGUCUGAGAGGACGACCAGCCACACUGGGACUGAGACACGGCCCAGACUCCUACGGGAGGCAGCAGUGGGGAAUUUUGGACAAUGGACGCAAGUCUGAUCCAGCCAUGCCGCGUGCGGGAAGAAGGCCUUCGGGUUGUAAACCGCUUUUGUCAGGGAAGAAACGCUCUGGGUUAAUACCUCGGGGUAAUGACGGUACCUGAAGAAUAAGCACCGGCUAACUACGUGCCAGCAGCCGCGGUAAUACGUAGGGUGCAAGCGUUAAUCGGAAUUACUGGGCGUAAAGCGUGCGCAGGCGGUUAUGCAAGACAGAGGUGAAAUCCCCGGGCUCAACCUGGGAACUGCCUUUGUGACUGCAUAGCUAGAGUACGGUAGAGGGGGAUGGAAUUCCGCGUGUAGCAGUGAAA
RNAcentral lists this ribosomal RNA (588 nucleotides) under uncultured bacterium. RNAcentral describes it as "bacterial SSU rRNA". It matches the Rfam family "Bacterial small subunit ribosomal RNA", at positions 102 to 686 of the family's 1533-position model. The record is from RNAcentral.